AAAAAUAAAAUAAGAAAUUAGGACAUCUCCAAUGGUGAUCUCUAUAUUUUCCUCUAUUUUAGAGGUGACUCUAUUUUAGAGGUGUCUAUUGUAGUACAAUGCCUCUAAAAUAGAGUUUCCUCUAUAACAGAGAAAAAAUAGAGAUCUCUACAAUUCAACUCUAUUUUUUCUUCUAUUUUUGAAGAAACUCUAUUUUAAAGGUGACUAUUGGAUCAUAAUAUUUUUAAAAUAAAGAUGUAGCUAGUGAAUUUU
RNAcentral lists this small RNA (252 nucleotides) under Arabidopsis thaliana (thale cress). RNAcentral describes it as "ATSL067040". Lineage: Eukaryota; Viridiplantae; Streptophyta; Magnoliopsida; Brassicales; Brassicaceae. The record is from RNAcentral.